GACGAACGCUGGCGGCGUGCUUAACACAUGCCAGUCGAACGGAAAGGCCCUGCUUUUGUGGGGUGCUCGAGUGGCGAACGGGUGAGUAACACGUGAGUAACCUGUCCUUGACUUUGGGAUAACUUCAGGAAACUGGGGCUAAUACCGGAUAGGAGCUCCUGCUGCAUGGUGGGGGUUGGAAAGUUUCGGCGGUUGGGGAUGGACUCGCGGCUUAUCAGCUUGUUGGUGGGGUAGUGGCUUACCAAGGCUUUGACGGGUAGCCGGCCUGAGAGGGUGACCGGCCACAUUGGGACUGAGAUACGGCCCAGACUCCUACGGGAGGCAGCAGUGGGGAAUAUUGCACAAUGGGCGGAAGCCUGAUGCAGCAACGCCGCGUGCGGGAUGACGGCCUUCGGGUUGUAAACCGCUUUCGCCUGUGACGAAGCGUGAGUGACGGUAAUGGGUAAAGAAGCACCGGCUAACUACGUG
RNAcentral lists this ribosomal RNA (468 nucleotides) under uncultured bacterium. Its description in RNAcentral is "partial 16S ribosomal RNA". It matches the Rfam family "Bacterial small subunit ribosomal RNA", at positions 28 to 507 of the family's 1533-position model. The record is from RNAcentral.